This 262-nucleotide ribosomal RNA is filed under the name uncultured prokaryote. Its description in RNAcentral is "partial 16S ribosomal RNA". It matches the Rfam family "Bacterial small subunit ribosomal RNA", at positions 917 to 1178 of the family's 1533-position model. The record is from RNAcentral.
GGACCCGCACAAGCGGUGGAGCAUGUGGUUUAAUUCGAAGCAACGCGAAGAACCUUACCAAAUCUUGACAUCCUUUGACAACUCUAGAGAUAGAGCCUUCCCCUUCGGGGGACAAAGUGACAGGUGGUGCAUGGUUGUCGUCAGCUCGUGUCGUGAGAUGUUGGGUUAAGUCCCGCAACGAGCGCAACCCUUAAGCUUAGUUGCCAUCAUUAAGUUGGGCACUCUAAGUUGACUGCCGGUGACAAACCGGAGGAAGGUGGGG